GAAUGACUUUAUUUUGGUCUGUAAUGAGCUUGCUCUCUUUUCUAAAACUUAUCUCUGGGCGGUGAACAGAAGACCGCGCGCUCCCGUUAAGCCCUUCGUGCCCCGGGGAAGCCAUGCUUGAAAUCUGAAUGGGACGUCACAAAAGAGAAACAGCAGGCAGUAUAAACCCAGGUGGACAACUCUGAGGACGUUUGGCAGCACAAUAUAAAGAUUGCUGUUGUUGGUGCUUCCUACGCUGAAGAUCCUGUUGAUGUCUCUCUUAUUCUUGACGGCAAGGAGGUUGUGACUGGAUGUGGAAAUACUGCAAAGCCAUGUACACUGCUAAUGGGUCUGAUAUAUUCCCUCAAUCUUGCUUAUCCUCCAACACUGUGUUACGCUUUUGAAGUGUUCCAGAAGCUUUUCUUAGACUUAGACGCAAUAAAGCUAUCCCCCAAAGUACAAACUCUGAAAAUGAAGUUGCUGUCCAAAACUUAAAAGAUGACAUUUUAUUCAGCUUUAUUCAGCUUGGUAUGCCAUUGCCAUUAUAGCAGUUUAUGCUAUAAAGUUGUAUUGUUAUUGUGUAGCUCUUGCACAUGCUUCAAAGUCGUUAAUUGUUCAUUAAUGUUAAUACAGUUGCAAAAC
Molecule: long non-coding RNA, 621 nt
Organism: Amphiprion ocellaris (clown anemonefish)
Lineage: Eukaryota; Metazoa; Chordata; Actinopteri; Pomacentridae
Source: Ensembl